Molecule: ribosomal RNA, 447 nt
Filed under: uncultured bacterium
Lineage: Bacteria
Description: partial 16S ribosomal RNA
Rfam family: Bacterial small subunit ribosomal RNA
Source: RNAcentral
AGCGAACGCUGGCGGCAGGCUUAACACAUGCAAGUCGAACGCCCCGCAAGGGGAGUGGCAGACGGGUGAGUAACACGUGGGAACGUACCCUUUGGUUCGGAAUAACUUGGGGAAACUCAAGCUAAUACCGGAUAAGCCCUUAUGGGGAAAGGUUUACUGCCGAAGGAUCGGCCCGCGUCUGAUUAGCUAGUUGGUGAGGUAAUGGCUCACCAAGGCGACGAUCAGUAGCUGGUCUGGGAGGAUGAUCAGCCACACUGGGACUGAGACACGGCCCAGAGUCCUACGGGAGGGAGCAGUGGGGAAUAUUGGACAAUGGGGGCAACCCUGAUCCAGCCAUGCCGCGUGAGUGAUGAAGGCCUUAGGGUUGUAAAGCUCUUUUACCCGGGACGAUAAUGACUGUACCGGGAGAAUAAGCCCCGGCUAACUUCGUGCCAGCCGCCGCCGUAA